This 2123-nucleotide long non-coding RNA is filed under the name Mytilus galloprovincialis (Mediterranean mussel). Lineage: Eukaryota; Metazoa; Mollusca; Bivalvia; Mytilida; Mytilidae. The record is from RNAcentral.
AUGAUACUUAAGUUUAUUAUAAAUAUAGAACCAUUUUCACCCCUGAAGCUAUAAACACUGCACAAUGAAAAUCAUGAUAAAUAUUUACACAAAAUCCCAAAGUAAUAAUACUAAUGAUUUGGUUGCCAUAGCAACCAGACAACAAAUUUAAGUGUCACCUACAAAGCGUUACAAAAUAAUAACCUUUGAAGGUAUAUCAAUUAUAGUUAUCAAUAUAUGAUGAACUCAUUUAUGGCCUUAGUAUUGGAAGUAAACAAUCUCAGUUGACAAGAGUCAUAUAUAAGUUAUGAGGCUCUGGAUGGGGCUUACAGAAUACAGAAUAAAGGGCAAAAUCUUGCUAUGAAUAACCCCAAGAAAAUCUAGAAUUGAGAAUAAUGGGGGGCUUAUAUAGAAAAAAAUUGAGAAUAUUGGGCAAAAUAAAUUAAAAAUAGAAAAAUUAUGAACAAUAUAAAAAAAAUCAGAAUUAAAAAACCCACAUUUGGACCCUCCAUUAUUGUUGAUUAAAUACCUAAUUACAGUGUUUAUGUCUGUUGAUUAAAAGCAGACUAUCCUUUCAGCGAUUUUACAGCACUAAUUAGCAGAACAAAAUAUCAGGUUAUUUUUUUUAUAUAAAUAUCAGGAAAUUUGAAGUUUUGCAUGCUUCUAGUUGAAGUGUGGACACAUGAAAAUGUGUGAACAGUUUAAUGCAUCUUAACUUCAAGGAAAAUCAAAAUUAAUAUGAAGAUAUUUAGAUGUCUAGACAAAACUACAAUGUUAAUAAAAAAUUAUCUGUUGUUUUAAAUGAUUGCAGUUUUUCACAAUGAAAUAGCUGUAGUGAGAAUAAGGGCAUUACAUUAUGUAUAACUGUAAAUUAUCACUUUACGUCUAAAAUUUACUUUAUAUUUUUUUAUCGUAUACAAUGAAAACAAUACAUUUAACAAUAAAUAAGAAUUUCUUUGUAUACUAUUGAAAGAAAAAAAGAAAUUUAACCUCAGACAAAUAGGAGGAAAGACAGCUUAUUGUAAAGUUUGUGCAUGCACUUGUUGAAGUGAACUUAAACAAUGGACAAAAUUGCAAUUAGAAUAUUGUAGAUUAGUCUUUGCGAUUAGAUUAGUCAUUGCGAUUUCAGAAAAUGCUUCAUACAAAUAAUACUGGCUAAAAUGCAAGAUCUUGUUCUUAAGAAACCUUUCACGUCACAAUUUUGACAAUAAUAUCAACAUUGCAAUAAUUUCUUAAGUGACACUAAUUCAUUGUUCUAAAUAAUUCUAUGUGCAAGUUUUAUGUUAAAAUGAAAGAAAUGGAUGUCCACUUUAUAGGAUGUGUUCAGGAUAUAUUAUUAGAAAUUCAAAUAUUGACGUCCUCACAGGGAAAUAUUGCAUUCACCUGAGAUGUAGUGUACCAUAUAAAUAUAAUGAAAAAAAGAUGUGGUAUGAUCGUCAAUGAGACAUCUAUCUAUUUCCUCAAGACCAAACAACAUGAUAGUGAAUAGAUAAGCAUGUACUUUGAAAACAAUAGGCAUAAACCCAUGACACAAAAAGUCUGUAUAAAUCUAGUGGUCAACAAAAGAUACCCAAUAAUAAACAAUACAGAGGUGUUUAUACGACUGGUAUACAAUAUAUUAGGAUAUGAAUUUCACAAAGUCCAAAAAAAACUUUUACAAGUUUGAAUAAAUUCAAAAAGGACAAUUUGAAGAUCUUCAUUUAACAUAUACAAAUUAACUGUGUGUAGCAAUUUCAUGAUAAAAACUUUAUAAAAUUUGUUUAAAUCUGAUCCCUGAAAAGGAAUCACCAUAAAGUUACUUGCUGUAUAUUGCUUUUCACUGUGUCCAUAGAGAUAUUUGUUGACCAUGAAGGAUAAAAAAGCAUGAAACCAUUUUAUGUCUACUUUAAAAAAUAUAUUAUUUAUUUACAGCCCAGAUAUAUAGAUAUAGAUAGUCUUACUUGGUGAUAUGUUUACAUAAAAGAUUAAUGUAUUCCCAAGAGUAAAAUGUAUAUAUGCAUGAGAAUGGUACUUUAAUUAGCAGGUACUCCUACAUUGUUUCAGGGAGAUUUUGCAGUUUAAUUAUGUGAAAUUUAGAGAUUAUUCAUAUUAAAAGAAGAGAUUAUUUAUUUGAGAAUUAGAGAUUAUUUAUUUGAGAAUUAGAG